Molecule: ribosomal RNA, 465 nt
Filed under: uncultured bacterium
Lineage: Bacteria
Description: bacterial SSU rRNA
Rfam family: Bacterial small subunit ribosomal RNA
Source: RNAcentral
CCUANGGGUGGCUGCAGUCAAGAAUAUUCCCCAAUGGCCGAAAGGCUGAGGGAGCGACGCCGCGUGUAUGAAGAAGCCCUUCGGGGUGUAAAGCACUUUCGAUGGGAACGAAAUGUGUCGGGCUAAUACCCCGGCAAGCUGACGUUACUCAAUGAAGAAGCACCGGCUAACUCUGUGCCAGCAGCCGCGGUAAUACAGAGGGUGCGAGCGUUAAUCGGAAUUACUUGGCGUAAAGCGCACGUAGGUGGCGACGUAAGUCGGGUGUGAAAGCCCCGGGCUCAACCUGGGAAUUGCAUUCGAGACUGCAUUGCUGGAGUACGGAAGAGGAGGGCGGAAUUCCCGGUGUAGCGGUGAAAUGCGUAGAUAUCGGGAGGAACAUCAGUGGCGAAGGCGGCCCUCUGGUCCAGUACUGACACUCAAGUGCGAAAGCGUGGGGAGCAAACAGGAUUAGAUACCCGANUANUC